AAGGAGGUGACGGCGUGAAGUGCGUCGUCCUCGGCGCGAGAGAUCAGGUUUGUUUUUAUCUAAUUGACAGUGCGAACUAUGUUGAAAAUCAGAACGCACGGGCCUGUGCAUUAUUUUCUCAAAAAUUUUAAAAUAAAGAAAAAAUGGUUGGGCCAGUGCAAUGCAUUUCUUCUUUUGGCAUGGGCGAGAUGUAGAACUAAUUGACUUUGAUGCGUGUUUUAUUUAUUUUGAGCAUUGAUGGCCUCCACGUUCUGCAGGUAUUUGGACAUUGUCAUGGGCUUUAAAGACAACCUCAUAAUCCACAAAGCUUGCGAUUUAGUUGUUCAGUUCAAUUUGUGCUUGCUUUUAAUGCUCACGAUAUUUUGAUUAGCAAGAGGUUUCCUUUUACCAAACAUAAAUCUAAAAUAUCGUGUAUGUCAUGGUUGGAACAUGGAAGGCUUUUGUUUCUUAUGAUUUAUAUUCUUCAUCUUCUGGUAAUUAUUAUGCGCAAAGUUCACCACAACGGUAACCUCAAUAAGAUGAAUGUGGCGUUUCAUUGCUUCCUUGGACGUCAUUGGGAAGUCUUCUUUUUCCAUAAGACAAUUGAUGCUGUCCUUUUCUUUUAAAACUCCUCAUCAAGUUUUAUUGAUUCCCUAUAUAUAUAUAAUCUGGAUGUAUGAAAAGUAAUCCGGAAGCCUUUCUGUUUUUGGAAUGGUUUGUGGAAUUUGGGCUUCUGUACUCAUCAGUUCGUUGCCUCAUGUGCUAGUUGUCUGGAGUUGAAAUUCUAUUUUUCUACUCCGAUGUGUUCGAUUUGGUUUAGGUUUUAACUUUUAUCUGGAACCCUUCUUGAUGUUGGAUUUCGUGUACUUUAUUUGGAGCUAGGUUUAAGUCUUGUUAUUAUGUUCAUCUUAAGAUAUAGUUUCAUGUAUGAAACAUACAUUCUACUUUUGCUGCAAUGUAAGAAAAUAGUUUUUAAGUCCAAAUGAAUCCAAAGGUUCUACUUCUACCUGAGAUCGAGCUACUUUUUUUAAACUCGAAAAGGUCGUUGUUUUUAUAAGCAUCAGUAGUCUUCCUACCUCCUGGUACUAUGUGAUAGUCAAAGUAAACAUUUCAAUUUUGUAAACAUUAGCUGAUGAAGGAUGUCUUUUUUAUCUUGUGCAGUGCCAUUUGUGUUCUGUACGGCCUAAAGCAACUGCUUUAAACCUUAAGAUCCACGUUAAAGGUGUUGGAUCUAUUCUUAAGAAGAUUGAAAGAUGGAUGAAUGAUUUUUUUUUGUCUAUCUGCUAAUCUUAGGAGGAUCUGAAGUAGACCGAGAAAACUACCUAAAAGUCUUCGGAGUGUCAGUGGUUCGUAUGGCAAGCCUGGCAAUGCUUUAGUCUUUAAAAAAGCUUCAUGCUGCUUCACAUAUUAAGUGGCAUGCAAUACAGUUGUAUCCUUGCAGUCAUUUUAUACAAGCUUGUAGAAGUAGUGGAUACGUGGUAGCAUAGUCCUGUCUCAAUAAGAGGAUUGACUCUGGAACUCAAACUAUGUAGACGAAUAGAGACGUAGGUUCAUGGCUUGUUAGGGGAGAAAUUGGGUGCUUUAUUGUACUAUUCUCACUUGUGAAGAGUUUCGGAAAAUCGAAUUGCAGCCUAAAGCUAAUUGUGUUAACUCUUUUUUCUUCAA
Syzygium oleosum is the source of this 1644-nucleotide long non-coding RNA. RefSeq lists it as uncharacterized. The transcript is spliced from 2 exons. The record is from RefSeq and is a predicted model, not a curated record. Lineage: Eukaryota; Viridiplantae; Streptophyta; Magnoliopsida; Myrtales; Myrtaceae.